UCUCUCCGCGGAAGACCCGUGCCUGGCUGGUGGACCCCGGCGCUCGGAUCCGUCUUCUUCGCGUCACCAGCCGCGCGGACUUGGCAAACGCCACGCUGGAACCUCGCCGCGCAUCUCGGAGGCCCAACCGAAUCCCAGUCGCGCGGCCAAGUCUCCUUCCCCACGUGCGCUACCCCUUGAAGUACGGCGCCGCUCGACCAACCAUGACUCCCUUUCUUUCGCCAGGCCAGCCCCAAAAUCGCGAGGAGAAGUGCGUAGUCGCCGGUGUGCAAGGGACCGGCAUGGGGCCGCCACCGUGAAGUCUUGGUUCGGUGGUGCCUCUGCCCCAAUUUGAGUCUCCCAUGCAUCGCCGGUGAGAAUAGAAGCUGCCGGUGGGAAGAAUCGCGCGGGGGUGCUGUUGUGGGCUCGGGAAUUUCUCCCCGGAGUCUAGCCGCCACCGUAGAGCCGCGCCUGGCCGGGGCCAGGCUGAAUGCUGCUGCGAUCCACGGGCUCGGGUGGGGGAGAUCUGCGUCCGAUGAACCCGGAAUUCCACACCGGAGCCUGGACUCGUGGCCAAGCCGCAGUGUGCUGCAGCUAGCUCCCCUCUCCGCCCUCCAACGAUGACGAGCAGGCUACACAGGAUUCUGAGGUUCAGCUGGUAGAGAGAGCUGAGCAGGAGCUCGUUGAAGGCAAGUUGUGCCCUUGAUCACUUCUUUUACCCAUUCAUGUUCUUGUUAAUCAUAAUGAUCUGCAUAGGUUAAUUUUGCUGGGACCCAAUAGGUUACCCUAGAUUUGACUAUCUUUAUACCUUGUUUCACCACUGGUUUUACUACUAAAUUUUUGGGUAGUACAUGCUAUUGCUUUAUGUGGAUUUGGGUAUAAAGAUAUUUAUGACUCAUGAUUACACUUUCUAUUAUCUGUUCAUUAUUUUAUGUUCAUGAUAAGAUCAUUAUGUUAAUGGGAACAUGGAGAACCACCCGGGAAAACAGUGCUACCACAAGGGUUUAAUGGGACGCCCUUGGCUGAUUAACUAGGAAAGCUAGUGGAGGGCUGCCUUACCCGAAAGGGGCAAGGGCAGUAGGGGAGUGGUCAGUGUAGGGAGGUCCUUGGGUUGAUUUUGCUGCGAUGGCGGUCAGGCAAGAACCCUGCACUGGAGCUUCCUAUAAACUGUAGCGGGUAGUCUGAAGCUAGUGGAACUUUAUAAAGGCCUCGUAGUGGUACCCUGCCUCGCUUCCUAGGUAGAGGUGUAU
Long non-coding RNA from Zea mays, 1229 nucleotides. RefSeq lists it as uncharacterized. Lineage: Eukaryota; Viridiplantae; Streptophyta; Magnoliopsida; Poales; Poaceae. The record is from RefSeq and is a predicted model, not a curated record. The transcript is spliced from 3 exons.